GAACUUAAGCAUAUCAAUAAGCGGAGGAAAAGAAACCAACAGGGAUUACCUCAGUAACGGCGAGUGAAGCGGUAACAGCUCAAAUUUGAAAUCUGGCUCUUUCAGGGUCCGAGUUGUAAUUUGUAGAAGAUGCUUCGGGUGUGGCUCCGGUCUAAGUUCCUUGGAACAGGACGUCAUAGAGGGUGAGAAUCCCGUGUGUGACUGGCUGCCUCCGCCCAUGUGAAGCUCUUUCGACGAGUCGAGUUGUUUGGGAAUGCAGCUCAAAAUGGGUGGUAAAUUUCAUCUAAAGCUAAAUAUUGGCCAGAGACCGAUAGCGCACAAGUAGAGUGAUCGAAAGAUGAAAAGCACUUUGGAAAGAGAGUUAAACAGUACGUGAAAUUGUUGAAAGGGAAGCGCUUGCAAUCAGACUUGCGCGUUGCCGAUCAUCUGGGGUUCUCUCCAGUGCACUCGGUAGCGCUCAGGCCAGCAUCGGUUUGGGUGGUGGGAUAAAGGCCUUGGGAAUGUAGCUUCUUUCGGGGAGUGUUAUAGCCCUCGGUGCAAUGCCGCCUAUCCGGACCGAGGACCGCGCUUCGGCUAGGAUGCUGGCGUAAUGGUUGUAAGCGACCCGUCUUGAAACACGGACCAAGGAGUCUAACAUUUAUGCGAGUAUUUGGGUGUUAAACCCAUAUGCGUAAUGAAAGUGAACGGAGGUGAGAACCCUUAAGGGUGCAUCAUCGACCGGUCCUGAUGUCUUCGGAUGGAUCUGAGUAAGAGCAUAACUGUUGGGACCCGAAA
RNAcentral lists this ribosomal RNA (774 nucleotides) under uncultured fungus. RNAcentral describes it as "eukaryotic LSU rRNA". It matches the Rfam family "Eukaryotic large subunit ribosomal RNA", at positions 30 to 821 of the family's 3401-position model. The record is from RNAcentral. Lineage: Eukaryota; Fungi.